RNAcentral lists this ribosomal RNA (427 nucleotides) under uncultured bacterium. Its description in RNAcentral is "partial 16S ribosomal RNA". It matches the Rfam family "Bacterial small subunit ribosomal RNA", at positions 355 to 774 of the family's 1533-position model. The record is from RNAcentral.
UGGGGAAUAUUGGACAAUGGGCGAAAGCCUGAUCCAGCCAUGCCGCGUGUGUGAAGAAGGUCUUCGGAUUGUAAAGCACUUUAAGUUGGGAGGAAGGGCAUUAACCUAAUACGUUAGUGUUUUGACGUUACCGACAGAAUAAGCACCGGCUAACUCUGUGCCAGCAGCCGCGGUAAUACAGAGGGUGCAAGCGUUAAUCGGAAUUACUGGGCGUAAAGCGCGCGUAGGUGGUUUGUUAAGUUGGAUGUGAAAUCCCCGGGCUCAACCUGGGAACUGAAUUCAAAACUGACUGACUAGAGUAUGGUAGAGGGUGGUGGAAUUUCCUGUGUAGCGGUGAAAUGCGUAGAUAUAGGAAGGAACACCAGUGGCGAAGGCGACCACCUGGACUAAUACUGACACUGAGGUGCGAAAGCGUGGGGAGCAAACA